GCAGCCGCCGCGGUAAGACGAAGGGGGCUAGCGUUGUUCGGAAUUACUGGGCGUAAAGCGAGUGUAGGUGGUUAUCCAAGUUGGAUGUGAAAGCCUUGAGCUCAACUCAAGAAAUGCAUUCAGGACUGGAUGACUAGAGGACCGGAGAGGAUAGUGGAAUUCCCAGUGUAGUGGUGAAAUACGUAGAGAUUGGGAAGAACACCAGUGGCGAAGGCGGCUAUCUGGACGGUUUCUGACACUAAGACUCGAAAGCGUGGGGAGCAAACAGGAUUAGAUACCCCCGUAGUCCCUGUCUCUUAUAC
This 302-nucleotide ribosomal RNA is filed under the name uncultured bacterium. RNAcentral's name for it is "partial 16S ribosomal RNA". It matches the Rfam family "Bacterial small subunit ribosomal RNA", at positions 508 to 807 of the family's 1533-position model. The record is from RNAcentral.